Clupea harengus (Atlantic herring) is the source of this 530-nucleotide long non-coding RNA. The record is from Ensembl. NCBI's taxonomy places the organism in Eukaryota, Metazoa, Chordata, Actinopteri, Clupeiformes, Clupeidae.
UGAUGCGAUUUCCAGAGCCCAGAGCCUGAACCCCCCUGGAGCAGAGAGGGUGAGAGGAUGAGAGGAUGACAGGGUGAGAGGAGAGAGGGUGAGAGGGUGAGAGGAGAGAGGGUGUGAGGAUGACAGGGUGAGAGGGAGAGAGGAUGAGAGGGUGAGAGGGUGAGAGGAGAGAGGGUGAGAGGAUGAGAGGAGAGAGGAUGAGAGGGUGAGAGGAUGAGAGGGUGAGAGGAGAGAGGUGAGAGGGUGAGAGGAGAGAGGGUGAGAGGAGAGAGGGUGAGAGGAGAGAGGGUGAGAGGGAGAGAGGAUGAGAGGGUGAGAGGAUGAGAGGGCAAGAGGAUGAGAGGAUGAGAUGGGAGAGGAUGAGAGGGUGAGAGGAUGAGAGGGUGAGAGGGUGAGAGGAUGAGAGGGCGAGAGGAUGAGAUGAGAGAGGAUGAGAGGGUGAGAGGAUGAGAGGGUGAGAGGAUGAGAGGGUGAGAGGAGAGAGGGUGAGAGGACGAGAGGAGAGAGGGCGAGCACAAUGGCGACGGGGG